Molecule: ribosomal RNA, 492 nt
Filed under: uncultured bacterium
Lineage: Bacteria
Description: partial 16S ribosomal RNA
Rfam family: Bacterial small subunit ribosomal RNA
Source: RNAcentral
AGUGAACGCUGGCGGUAGGCCUAACACAUGCAAGUCGAACGGCAGCACAGUAAGAGCUUGCUCUUACGGGUGGCGAGUGGCGGACGGGUGAGGAAUACAUCGGAAUCUACUUUUUCGUGGGGGAUAACGUAGGGAAACUUACGCUAAUACCGCAUACGACCUACGGGUGAAAGCAGGGGAUCUUCGGACCUUGCGCGAUUGAAUGAGCCGAUGUCGGAUUAGCUAGUUGGCGGGGUAAAGGCCCACCAAGGCGACGAUCCGUAGCUGGUCUGAGAGGAUGAUCAGCCACACUGGAACUGAGACACGGUCCAGACUCCUACGGGAGGCAGCAGUGGGGAAUAUUGGACAAUGGGCGCAAGCCUGGUCCAGCUAUACCGCGUGGGUGAAGAAGGCCUUCGGGUUGUAAAGCCCUUUUGUUGGGAAAGAAAAGCAGCAGGUUAAUACCCCGCUGUUCUGACGGUACCCAAAGAAUAAGCACCGGCUAACUUCGUG